CAGCAGCCGCGGGAAUACAGAGGGUGCAAGCGUUAAUCGGAAUUACUGGGCGUAAAGCGGGCGUAGGUGGUUUGUUAAGUUGGAUGUGAAAUCCCCGGGCUCAACCUGGGAACUGCAUCCAAAACUGGCAGGCUAGAGUAGGGCAGAGGGUGGUGGAAUUUCCUGUGUAGCGGUGAAAUGCGUAGAUAUAGGAAGGAACACCAGUGGCGAAGGCGACCACCUGGGCUCAUACUGACACUGAGGUGCGAAAGCGUGGGGAGCAAACAGGAUUAGAUACCCCCGUAGUCCCUGUCUCUUAUAA
RNAcentral lists this ribosomal RNA (301 nucleotides) under uncultured bacterium. RNAcentral's name for it is "partial 16S ribosomal RNA". It matches the Rfam family "Bacterial small subunit ribosomal RNA", at positions 509 to 809 of the family's 1533-position model. The record is from RNAcentral.